AGUGAACGCUGGCGGUAGGCCUAACACAUGCAAGUCGAACGGCAGCACAGUAAGAGCUUGCUCUUACGGGUGGCGAGUGGCGGACGGGUGAGGAAUACAUCGGAAUCUACUUUUUCGCGGGGGAUAACGUAGGGAAACUUACGCUAAUACCGCAUACGACCUACGGGUGAAAGCAGUGGAUCUUCGGACCUUGCGCGAUUGAAUGAGCCGAUGUCGGAUUAGCUAGUUGGCGGGGUAAAGGCCCACCAAGGCGACGAUCCGUAGCUGGUCUGAGAGGAUGAUCAGCCACACUGGAACUGAGACACGGUCCAGACUCCUACGGGAGGCAGCAGUGGGGAAUAUUGGACAAUGGGCGCAAGCCUGAUCCAGCCAUACCGCGUGGGUGAAGAAGGCCUUCGGGUUGUAAAGCCCUUUUGUUGGGAAAGAAAAGCAGCAGGUUAAUACCCCGCUGUUCUGACGGUACCCAAAGAAUAAGCACCGGCUAACUUCGUG
This 492-nucleotide ribosomal RNA is filed under the name uncultured bacterium. Its description in RNAcentral is "partial 16S ribosomal RNA". It matches the Rfam family "Bacterial small subunit ribosomal RNA", at positions 29 to 507 of the family's 1533-position model. The record is from RNAcentral.